CCUACGGGAGGCAGCAGUGGGGGAUAUUGCACAAUGGGGGGAACCCUGAUGCAGCGACGCCGCGUGGGUGAAGAAGCGCCUCGGCGCGUAAAGCCCUUUCAGCAGGGAAGAAAAUGACGGUACCUGAUGAAGAAGCCCCGGCUAACUACGUGCCAGCAGCCGCGGUAAUACGUAGGGGGCAAGCGUUAUCCGGAUUGACUGGGUGUAAAGGGGGCGCAGUCGGCGAUGCCAGCCAGGAGGGAAAGUCCGGGGUCAAACCCCGGGACGCCUCUUGGAACUGCGUGGCUGGAGUGCAGGAGGGGCAGGCGGAAUUUCUGGUGUAGGGGUGAAAUGCGUAGAUAUCAGGAGGAACACCGGUGGCGAAGGCGGCCUGCUGGACUGCAACUGACGUUGAGGCCCGAAAGCGUGGGGAGCAAACAGGAUUAGAUACCCGGGUAGUC
Molecule: ribosomal RNA, 440 nt
Filed under: uncultured bacterium
Lineage: Bacteria
Description: partial 16S ribosomal RNA
Rfam family: Bacterial small subunit ribosomal RNA
Source: RNAcentral